Molecule: ribosomal RNA, 242 nt
Filed under: Candidatus Phytoplasma prunorum
Lineage: Bacteria; Bacillati; Mycoplasmatota; Mollicutes; Acholeplasmatales; Acholeplasmataceae
Description: partial 16S ribosomal RNA
Rfam family: Bacterial small subunit ribosomal RNA
Source: RNAcentral
GCAAGCGUUAUCCGGAUUUAUUGGGCGUAAAGGGUGCGUAGGCGGUUAAAUAAGUCUAUGGUAUAAGUUCAACGCUUAACGUUGUGAUGCUAUAGAAACUGUUUAACUAGAGUUGGAUAGAGGCAAGUGGAAUUCCAUGUGUAGCGGUAAAAUGCGUAAAUAUAUGGAGGAACACCAGUAGCGAAGGCGGCUUGCUGGGUCUUAACUGACGCUGAGGCACGAAAGCGUGGGGAGCAAACAGG